UAUUAUGCUAGUGUUCGUGGGU
RNAcentral lists this microRNA (22 nucleotides) under Limulus polyphemus (Atlantic horseshoe crab). RNAcentral describes it as "Lpo-Mir-1993-P4_3p (mature (guide))". The record is from RNAcentral. Lineage: Eukaryota; Metazoa; Arthropoda; Merostomata; Xiphosura; Limulidae.